UCGCGCCUCCACCUCCGCCGCUUUACUCCCGAUGGGCGAACCACGCCCACCUCGACCGCCGGCCUCUCGCGCCCUCCGUCGCCUCCCACCUCCACCGCUGCUGCUUCUCUCCGGAUCCGCUCUCCGCACCCGCCGCCCCACUCUGCCCUUGCAUCCUCGUCACCGCGCGGCUAACCCUCCGGCCUCCACCCCUCUCCCUCUCUUUCUCCUCAGAUCUGCGAGCUGCUCCCUCUCGCUCAUCGAGGGCCGCGGCCACCGUCUCCCUUGACCUCGUCGCCGCCGCGACGGCCCUCUGGCGCGGCAGCCGUCUGGGCACAUGGAGGAAGGCCGGGCGAGCUCCAAGCCUCAGCCCCGGCAGAUAUACAAUGUAUAGUGGCCGCUGCCAGUGCGGACUCGGGCCCCCUCCUCGCCGCGCCUCCCCGCCGGGGGGCUCAUCCAAUUGCUCCUCUCCUGCGGAGUGGUUGAGGUCCGCAGACUCAUCCACCAGCGGCUGCUGCAUCCGACUCAACAAACAGCGAUUCAAGUUUGCGUAUUAUUUAGACCUUUUCUACCACUCGGCCAUCUCCUUCUCUCCAUCAUGGCUGUGAUAGGCAUAUGGACGAAGCAGCAGGCAGCAGCGGCCAUACCUGAUCCAUGGGAAUGACGGGGCUCCUCCAUGGCAUCUUGAAUUUCUUGAUUCCCUUCUUCACGGCCUUGACUAAGAUUUAUCUAUUUUCUAAUUGUACCAGCAGUUUACCUCACGCCAUAAUUGUUGCCUGUAAAGUGCUCGAAAGAAUGCUCCAGUGGUGACAUGAUGUUUGGAUCUCUGUUGGCAAAGGAGCAAUUCUUUGGUAAAGUUGAAGUUGGGUUAGCAUAUUCGCUCACUGCUGCUACUUCGCCUACAAUUUCACACAUUUGAGUUCUUCCUCUCUUGCCCCUAACUGUGAAUUGGUCUUGUAAAUUGCAUUGAGACUAUAGCCUUCUGUUUUUCAGAUUUCUACAGGUUUUGUUUGUACUGCAGCUGUGUUAGUAUUGACGCCCUCCUGUGCAUUGAUUGAUUGGAUGAGAUAUUGUUGUAUGUCUUUCAGGAUUAUUGCUUCUGAAUGAGCGUGGGAAAAAGGGAGAGCUGUGGACAGAGGUGUUGUCAUAGGAGCUCGCAUGGAAUUCUCUCAGCUGUGAGCCCCCUGUCUCAGCCGGUGGCAGUAGGCGCAUGCACCAAAUGGCUCUCUUGUUGGCGUUGAGUCAGACCUCUAGGUGAUUUAAAGGGUUAAAGAACUGGCGGUUAGAAUAGAAGCCUCGCAGAGAAGAAAUCAUUGUAGCCAAAUGUUCUGCCACAACACUCAUCAAAACUGAUACGUGUUGAAAAAGAAUUCUUUGCUUAGUUACUGCUGCUGGUUCAUACUCUUGGUGAAAACUAUCUUUUGUUUUUUUUCUGGUUCAUUUUGUUGUCUUUGGUCCUGCAAUGUUAGAUUGCUAGUUCUAAUUCAUGGAAAACACUAUGUGAUCCAUUAUUCUGGUGUCAUGAUGUUUGAUGCAAAUAUUAUUGAUAUGAGGUUAUAAUUUGGGCUGUAAUUGCUUAUUGUGACUUUUGGGCUGUAACUUUUGUUUUGGUAAAUGGGUUGUGUAUAAGCUGAA
Panicum virgatum (switchgrass) is the source of this 1614-nucleotide long non-coding RNA. RefSeq lists it as uncharacterized. The record is from RefSeq and is a predicted model, not a curated record. The transcript has 3 exons. NCBI's taxonomy places the organism in Eukaryota, Viridiplantae, Streptophyta, Magnoliopsida, Poales, Poaceae.